Long non-coding RNA from Penaeus chinensis, 395 nucleotides. RefSeq lists it as uncharacterized. The transcript has 3 exons. The record is from RefSeq and is a predicted model, not a curated record. NCBI's taxonomy places the organism in Eukaryota, Metazoa, Arthropoda, Malacostraca, Decapoda, Penaeidae.
UCUCUCUCUCUCUCUCUCUCUCUCUCUCUCUUGAAUAUGGAAUAUAAAUCUAUAACUUUGGGGUAGACGUAGCUCCUGAGGUAAACUACUGGAGAGGAAUUCUGUGGAUACGUGACAGGUAAUACAAUAGUCACUCUUGCUAGUUUUCUAUAGAGCGCGUCGUUUCUCACGCGUACGAAACAGGUACCGUCAUCACAAGCACGACUGUCAACAGGCAGAUAUGAAAAGGUUUCCCUCUCCUGUGUGUAAUACUUUGAAGGUUUCGAGCGUGGAGAAUCGUUAAAUCAAGAGCAGGUACCGCCAUAAAAAAUAAGACAUCAGAAAAUUUCCUUCCUCCGUGUGCCAUGCCUUGAAAGGCUAUACAUGUGCUAAGGACGGUACGCACAGACGGUACA